RNAcentral lists this transfer RNA (76 nucleotides) under Candidatus Omnitrophota bacterium. RNAcentral describes it as "Candidatus Omnitrophica bacterium tRNA-Ala". It matches the Rfam family "tRNA". Rfam says of the family: Transfer RNA (tRNA) molecules are approximately 80 nucleotides in length. Their secondary structure includes four short double-helical elements and three loops (D, anti-codon, and T loops). Further hydrogen bonds mediate the characteristic L-shaped molecular structure. tRNAs have two regions of fundamental functional importance: the anti-codon, which is responsible for specific mRNA codon recognition, and the 3' end, to which the tRNAs corresponding amino acid is attached (by aminoacyl-tRNA synthetases). tRNAs cope with the degeneracy of the genetic code in two manners: having more than one tRNA (with a specific anti-codon) for a particular amino acid; and 'wobble' base-pairing, i.e. permitting non-standard base-pairing at the 3rd anti-codon position. Lineage: Bacteria; Pseudomonadati; Candidatus Omnitrophota. The record is from RNAcentral.
GGGGCUGUAGCGCAGCUGGGAGCGUACCUCAAUGGCAUUGAGGGGGCCGAGGGUUCGAACCCCUCCAGCUCCACUA